This is a long non-coding RNA of Esox lucius (northern pike), 3737 nucleotides long. RefSeq lists it as uncharacterized. The transcript is spliced from 2 exons. Lineage: Eukaryota; Metazoa; Chordata; Actinopteri; Esociformes; Esocidae. The record is from RefSeq and is a predicted model, not a curated record.
GGUAAUAUUGCUAGUAACGGCGACGUAACCUUACAUUCUAGACAGUCCGAGCUAGCAAAUGAACGUUCGCUCGAUAGCUAGCUAACGCAAACUACACAGAUACAAUACGGAAUUGCGUUUUGAAAUUAGUCUAAUGUUAGCGUGCAAUGUUCAUGAAAAAUACUCGGUUAACUUUUUUUGACUGUGUACAGUAGUUAAUCAUCUAACUAGAAGUAUAGAUAUAAACCAGACACAACAUAGUUAUUGUAAGCGUAUUUUGUAAAUAAAUAUAGCUAUAAGUGAUGAUAACGGAACGUCUUUGUCCCAUGCCUUUUGCCAUGGUCUGUAGAUUUACCUGGCUGUAGGCCCACAACAAAAUCGCUUCAGUAGCAUCACGUGAUACAAAAGCCCCAUCUAACACAAAGCGUUCUUUUGAGUAACGUUAGGUUGUUAUAGUAGCAUAUUACAAAUUGAAUACAAAUCAAAGCAAUACCAACGUCAUCGUUUGCUCAGAAAAUGGACACUAUAGAAAGUGUACGAUUUCAAACUAUCCAUUCUGAAACAGAGAAUAGAUAUCAAAACCCACGCACUCAACAUGACGAAAAUGAAGGUAUCUUUAGUACAAAUGUGGAUGAAGAAAUUAAAGAUUAUUCCUUCACCGAAAUACAAGCUCAUGACCUAGAGCAUUAUAGAAGAUGUCAAAUAGGUAUCUCAUGUUCCCAAGAGGACUACCAAGUAGAUGUUUGCAGGAAUGUUAUAAAUCAAAUUAUAGGAGAUGGGGUGCAGACACACUGGAGUUUUUCCAGAUUAGUCAAGUGUUUCAGUGAUCGGGACUGUUCUAAAGUGAAGUUCAGCCAAGUCCUUGCUGAAUACAAGUCUGACAUUCUACCUCUCAUAAUUGAGGAAUAUGGUAGUCUUAGCCAAACUGAGAAGAAAAUGAUGUCCCUUAUUAAUCAGCUUUUGUGUGGAUUACAUUUGAUUGUUGGCUUAGCUCAUCAGGCCAAAAUAACGCUUCUACUGUGGGACAACAUGAUUUUCGGUGAGCAGUUAGUAUGCGCAGGAGCCCAUAGUCUUCGUUACGUUGGGCCAACUGAAUUGGAGUCUGGAACAGUGCGUGCUGUGAGAACACUGAGCAAUGCUUUCCAGACGCUGGAGUUUGUGGAGUUCAAAACAUUUUUGACCAGCAAAGGAGAAUUUGACGAACAGCUCUUUUCUCCAUCCAGUGUAAACAGAAUUGACAGUCUGUUUCAUAACGCUGCUGGGUUAUAUAGCAUCUGUAAUGAUUUGCUUCAGUUUACCAGUGGCUGCACAGAAAACAUUAGUUUGCUUGAGGAUGUCGCAGCUGAUUUGAAGGUUCAACAGUUCAGAGCGGGAUGCAGAGCACUUGGCCUGUUUUUCAAAUUUGUUAUUCAGCCUUUCUGGAAAGCCCUGACUUUGAGUGGAGAUUUGUUAAAGAUGAACAUAAGAUACCAAAUCUUGAUUGGAAAGCUUAAGGAAUGGCACAUAGAUGGCAAAAGCCUUGUGGAUGGAAAUGUUUGCUUGUUUGAUGACAUUGAGGUAGAAGGGGAUCCUGUCUUAGACAAGCUUACUAUGUCUAUAGACGAAGGCUGUUUCGAAUUGACAGUUCAGAUUGUCGAAUUGCUAUCCUACAGUUUUCUAAAGGUGUGUCAUCAGAUCCUGCCAAUUGAUCUAGAGCCUUCAGAUGACAUUAGAGAGAGGAAUGAUUUGGUGUCAAAGAUGGAUGAUCACAGCGGGCAGAGUUUAAAUGUCCCAUUACAUUCACAAAAGGCUAAAUCAAAUGCUACCUGUUUCGCCCUUGAAGGUAUGUUUGUAUCUAAGAGGCAUCGUUCUUGGAAAUGGCUGUCCUUAUUGGACAAAGAAAAAACUGUUUCAGUUUUAAAAACCCUGAAGCAAACUUUGAAACUGAACAAAAUCUUGAACAAAAGAAGAAAAGUUUUUGUGCGAUCAAAAUUCCCAAAUACAAAAAAUAAAAACAUGGCAGUUGACAUGGUGACAUCAGUUCAGUUGAGGCCAGCCAAGGAGAUGUCUUGGAAAGUUGAAGCUAUGACUAAAAUAAAAUCCCAGCAAUAUCACAAAUCAGCAUCAUGCUCAGGUACACUCGCAAUCAAGAAUUUUGGAAAAAGAGUGGAAGGGAAGGAACUUAAAUACGUGUCUAAGCAAAUUGCCAAUACGAAAUCUGAAGCAUUUGCGCACCAGAGCAAUAUUAGAAAGCCGGUUCAAGUAAAGCCAAAGCCUGGGCUAGAAGUAUUAGAAACAGGACCUCUACAAUGGCCCAAACAGUGUACUAGACAGGGAACACUGGUGAGGGGACAUUUGGAUGCACUUUCUAGUGUUUCUUUGUCCCCUAUGAGGGCCCGGGAUAAUGUGACCAUGGAACACUAUUUAACCCAAAAGCUGACACAGUAUGGUGGGCAGUGGAAGCACGUGAAAGACAUUGAUAAAAAUGUGGCUAUGAUAGAUGCGAAGGAUAGAUAUGCAGCAUUAGUCAGCCAGCUGUUAUUUCACAGGUUUGUUCUAGGUUUCCGCAAUAAGCACGGUGUCUUCAAUACCUCAUGUGCCGGUAGGAGGUUGCAGUUGAGCGAACUAGUGGAUAAUUUGAAACGUUCCUUAUUGACUAAACGAUGAGGAGGAGGAGGAUGUUAAAAGUGGAUGAUCACAAUAGUUUACUAUACAUUUGAUUACUGUGCAGACAAACGUGUAUUCCGUUCACAGAAAAUGCUCAUUUAAACUUAAUACUGUUACCGCAUAAAUGGAAACAAAAGGAAGCAGAAAUAACUGACUGAUCUCAGAUUUGUUCGAUCAGUUUAAAAAACACAAAUCCUGUUUCAGUGCUGAGAUGGAGUAGUGUCAACUAUUCUGCCAAAUAGACAGAUCAUGUUUUGAAAGGUCAAUAAGCUUGUUUUUGGUAAUACAUUUGCAGUGAACCACUUGUGGUUACUGUGGUGAAAAUGUUUAUAAUAUAUGUGAUAUGCAACAUUUUAGACAGCUGUACAAUUGGUAGGCUGAAAUGUCAUUUACUGUUGUGUGCAGCAACAAAGUAGUGCAUCUCUGGUAUAAGUGUAGAAGGGACAGCAUCUUAGAGGACUGCAAGUGUAUGUAAGGGUGGAGCCUCAUUUCUUUACCCUUAAAAAGAAAGGGUUUGAGUUGGUUGAUUUAGCAAUUUCCCUUGGCCUCCUGUUCACGUAUAGCUGACAUCUUGUGUAAAAAGACCAAGGUCACAAGAAAUGCUUUUUUAUUUUGGAAUGAUUGCUAGAUGUGCAACCUUGCAAGUGACUAAAUAGCCCUUUGAAAAACGUUUUGAAGUGCCUCAUUUCUUUUUGGAAACGUUGAAUAGUCAGUGUUCUUUGGUUAAAGAAGGUAUACACAUUUUUGGAAAGGACUUCUUAAUUUUUCUUCUCCAUUUUUUUCUUACAAACCAUAUAUGUUUACACCAAGACACCACAAAUUCCCUUUUUGGACACAUGACUGCUGUUGACUAGGUGGCGGAAGUUUUUUUCAUUCUGAGUGAGACUUUUUGCUGACCUGCUUCUCUGAAACGUGAGUAGCGUGACCCCAAAGGAUCAUAAAACCAAGCAACUCCCACUGGACUCAGCGUCUGGUGAAGCACAUCCAAUUCCGUUGUGGUUCUUAUCAUGCUGCUCGCUCAACAAGGACGUCUACACUGGAAUCUCUGUGCUGGAAUGAACACACACUCCGGUCCUGUGGCUCACACACCCCAAGCUGCCACAUGGAGUCAA